Molecule: ribosomal RNA, 242 nt
Filed under: uncultured bacterium
Lineage: Bacteria
Description: partial 16S ribosomal RNA
Rfam family: Bacterial small subunit ribosomal RNA
Source: RNAcentral
UACAGAGGGGGCAAGCGUUAUUCGGAAUUACUGGGCGUAAAGCGUGCGUAGACGGUUAUGUAAGUUAGGUGUGAAAGCCCCGGGCUCAACCUGGGAAUUGCAUUUAAGACUGCAUAGCUAGGGUGCGGAAGAGGGAAGCGGAAUUUCCGGUGUAGCGGUGAAAUGCGUAGAUAUCGGAAGGAACAUCAGUGGCGAAAGCGGCUUCCUGGUCCAGCACCGACGUUCAGGCACGAAAGCGUGGG